This 460-nucleotide ribosomal RNA is filed under the name uncultured bacterium. RNAcentral's name for it is "partial 16S ribosomal RNA". It matches the Rfam family "Bacterial small subunit ribosomal RNA", at positions 338 to 795 of the family's 1533-position model. The record is from RNAcentral.
CCUACGGGCGGCAGCAGUGAGGAAUAUUGGUCAAUGGACGAGAGUCUGAACCAGCCAAGUAGCGUGAAGGAUGACUGCCCUAUGGGUUGUAAACUUCUUUUAUAAAGGAAUAAAACGAGGCACGUGUGCCUUUUUGCAUGUACUUUAUGAAUAAGGAUCGGCUAACUCCGUGCCAGCAGCCGCGGUAAUACGGAGGAUCCGAGCGUUAUCCGGAUUUAUUGGGUUUAAAGGGAGCGUAGAUGGGUUGUUAAGUCAGUUGUGAAAGUUUGCGGCUCAACCGUAAAAUUGCAAUUGAUACUGGCAGUCUAGAGUACAGUUGAGGUAGGCGGAAUUCGUGGUGUAGCGGUGAAAUGCUUAGAUAUCACGAAGAACCCCGAUUGCGAAGGCAGCUUACUAAACUGUGACUGACAUUGAUGCUCGAAAGUGUGGGUAUCAAACAGGAUUAGAUACCCGUGUAGUC